Molecule: ribosomal RNA, 253 nt
Filed under: uncultured bacterium
Lineage: Bacteria
Description: partial 16S ribosomal RNA
Rfam family: Bacterial small subunit ribosomal RNA
Source: RNAcentral
UACAGAGGGUGCGAGCGUUAAUCGGAAUUACUGGGCGUAAAGGGUGCGUAGGUGGUUAUAUUAGUUAGGUGUGAAAGCCCCGGGCUUAACCUGGGAAUUGCGCCUAAUACUGUGUAGCUAGAGGACUGGAGAGGAGACUGGAAUUUACGGUGUAGCGGUGAAAUGCGUAGAUAUCGUAAGGAAGACCAGUGGCGAAGGCGGGUCUCUGGACAGUUCCUGACGCUGAGGCACGAAGGUCAGGGGAGCAAACGGG